Molecule: ribosomal RNA, 253 nt
Filed under: uncultured bacterium
Lineage: Bacteria
Description: partial 16S ribosomal RNA
Rfam family: Bacterial small subunit ribosomal RNA
Source: RNAcentral
UACGUAGGGUGCAAGCGUUAAUCGGAAUUACUGGGCGUAAAGCGUGCGCAGGCGGUUUUGUAAGUCUGACGUGAAAUCCCCGGGCUCAACCUGGGAAUUGCGUUGGAGACUGCAAGGCUAGAAUCUGGCAGAGGGGGGUAGAAUUCCACGUGUAGCAGUGAAAUGCGUAGAGAUGUGGAGUAACACCGAUGGCGAAGGCAGCCCCCUGGGUCAAGAUUGACGCUCAUGCACGAAAGCGUGGGGAGCAAACAGG